GGGGAUAUAGCUCAGUUGGUAGAGUGCUUGCCUAGCAUGCACAAGGCCCUGGGUUCAAUCCCCGGUCCCA
This 70-nucleotide transfer RNA is filed under the name Ictidomys tridecemlineatus (thirteen-lined ground squirrel). RNAcentral's name for it is "Spermophilus tridecemlineatus (thirteen-lined ground squirrel) tRNA". It matches the Rfam family "tRNA". Rfam says of the family: Transfer RNA (tRNA) molecules are approximately 80 nucleotides in length. Their secondary structure includes four short double-helical elements and three loops (D, anti-codon, and T loops). Further hydrogen bonds mediate the characteristic L-shaped molecular structure. tRNAs have two regions of fundamental functional importance: the anti-codon, which is responsible for specific mRNA codon recognition, and the 3' end, to which the tRNAs corresponding amino acid is attached (by aminoacyl-tRNA synthetases). tRNAs cope with the degeneracy of the genetic code in two manners: having more than one tRNA (with a specific anti-codon) for a particular amino acid; and 'wobble' base-pairing, i.e. permitting non-standard base-pairing at the 3rd anti-codon position. The record is from Rfam by way of RNAcentral. Lineage: Eukaryota; Metazoa; Chordata; Mammalia; Rodentia; Sciuridae. RNAcentral also lists the same sequence under 1 other name.